AGGGCACCACCAGAUGUGGAGCCUGCGGCUUAAUUUGACUCAACACGGGAAAACUUACCCGGCCCGGACACUGGAAGGAUUGACAGAUUGAGAGCUCUUUCUUGAUUCAGUGGGUGGUGGUGCAUGGCCGUUCUUAGUUGGUGGAGCGAUUUGUCUGGUUAAUUCCGAUAACGAACGAGACUCUAUCCUACUAAAUAUGUGGCCGACUCUUAAACGUUUGAUCUCUUCUUAAAGGGACAGGCGGUGAUUCAACCGCACGAAACAGAGCAAUAACAGGUCUGUGAUGCCCUUAGAUGUCCGGGGGCCGCACGCGCGCUACACUGAAGUGAUCAGCAUGUGUUGUGUUCCUGCUCCGCUGAGAGUGGGGAACCCAUUGAACCUUCUUCGUGAUUGGGAUAAGAGAAUGUUGUUAUUCUCCUUGAUGAAGGAAUAAUAUCCAAGCGCAAGUCAUCAUCUUGUUGCGAUUACUACCCUGCUGCUUUGUACACCCCGCCCGUCGCUACUACUGAUUGAAUGAUG
This 519-nucleotide ribosomal RNA is filed under the name uncultured eukaryote. RNAcentral describes it as "bacterial SSU rRNA". It matches the Rfam family "Eukaryotic small subunit ribosomal RNA", at positions 1161 to 1698 of the family's 1831-position model. The record is from RNAcentral.